UACAGAGGUGGCAAGCGUUGUUCGGAAUUACUGGGCGUAAAGGGCGCGUAGGCGGUCUUGCAAGUCCCGUGUGAAAUCCCUCGGCUCAACUGAGGAACUGCACGGGAAACUGCUUGGCUUGAGUUCGGGAGAGGGAAGCGGAAUUCCGGGUGUAGCGGUGAAAUGCGUAGAUAUCCGGAGGAACACCGGUGGCGAAGGCGGGUCUCUGGGCCGAUACUGACGCUGAGGAGCGAAAGCGUGGGGAGCGAACAGG
RNAcentral lists this ribosomal RNA (253 nucleotides) under uncultured bacterium. Its description in RNAcentral is "partial 16S ribosomal RNA". It matches the Rfam family "Bacterial small subunit ribosomal RNA", at positions 524 to 776 of the family's 1533-position model. The record is from RNAcentral.